GAUGAACGCUGGCGGCGUGCCUAAUACAUGCAAGUCGAGCGAACAGACGAGGAGCUUGCUCCUCUGACGUUAGCGGCGGACGGGUGAGUAACACGUGGAUAACCUACCUAUAAGACUGGGAUAACUUCGGGAAACCGGAGCUAAUACCGGAUAACAUGUUGAACCGCAUGGUUCAACAGUGAAAGACGGUCUUGCUGUCACUUAUAGAUGGAUCCGCGCCGCAUUAGCUAGUUGGUAAGGUAACGGCUUACCAAGGCAACGAUGCGUAGCCGACCUGAGAGGGUGAUCGGCCACACUGGAACUGGGACACGGUCCAGACUCCUACGGGAGGCAGCAGUAGGGAAUCUUCCGCAAAGGGCGAAAGCCUGACGGAGCAACGCCGCGUGAGUGAUGAAGGUCUUCGGAUCGUAAAACUCUGUUAUUAGGGAAGAACAAAUGUGUAAGUAACUAUGCACGUCUUGACGGUACCUAAUCAGAAAGCCACGGCUAACUACGUG
RNAcentral lists this ribosomal RNA (497 nucleotides) under uncultured bacterium. RNAcentral describes it as "partial 16S ribosomal RNA". It matches the Rfam family "Bacterial small subunit ribosomal RNA", at positions 28 to 507 of the family's 1533-position model. The record is from RNAcentral.